RNAcentral lists this ribosomal RNA (448 nucleotides) under uncultured soil bacterium. RNAcentral's name for it is "bacterial SSU rRNA". It matches the Rfam family "Bacterial small subunit ribosomal RNA", at positions 26 to 518 of the family's 1533-position model. The record is from RNAcentral.
AGAGCGAACGCUGGCGGAAUGCUUAACACAUGCAAGUCGCACGGGCAGCAAUGUCAGUGGCGGACGGGUGAGUAUCGCGUAGGAAUAUGUCCGGAGGUGGGGGACAACCCUGGGAAACUGGGGCUAAUACCGCAUAUGAGCUGAGGCUCAAAGCAGAGGUGCGCCUUUGGAGUAGCCUGCGUCCGAUUAGCUUGUUGGUGGGUAAAGGCCUACCAAGGCGACGAUCGGUAGCUGGUCUGAGAGGACGACCAGCCACACUGGGACUGAGACACGGCCCAGACUCCUACGGGAGGCAGCAGUGGGGAAUAUUGGACAAUGGGCGCAAGCCUGAUCCAGCAAUUCCGCGUGGGUGAAGAAGGUCUUCGGAUUGUAAAGCCCUUUCGGACGGGGACGAUGAUGACGGUACCCGUAGAAGAAGCCCCCGGCUAACGUCCGUGCCAGCAGCCGC